Melanomma pulvis-pyrius CBS 109.77 is the source of this 103-nucleotide non-coding RNA. Lineage: Eukaryota; Fungi; Ascomycota; Dothideomycetes; Pleosporales; Melanommataceae. The record is from the annotation of a GenBank genome assembly.
GCACUCGUGGCCCAGUGGUUAGGGUACUGCCUUCCCAGUCGUCCGUCCGUUAGGCGGGCGGGAUGUCAGGCAGGGGUCGCGGGUUCAAUCCCCGCCGGGUGCA